GUGGCCGCGGAGGGCGCGG
RNAcentral lists this unclassified non-coding RNA (19 nucleotides) under Chlamydomonas reinhardtii. RNAcentral's name for it is "small RNA Cre_2056". Lineage: Eukaryota; Viridiplantae; Chlorophyta; Chlorophyceae; Chlamydomonadales; Chlamydomonadaceae. The record is from RNAcentral.